UACGUAGGGUGCGAGCGUUGUCCGGAAUUAUUGGGCGUAAAGAGCUCGUAGGCGGUCUGUCGCGUCUGCUGUGAAAACCUAGGGCUUAACUCUGGGCGUGCAGUGGGUACGGGCAGGCUAGAGUCCGGUAGGGGAGUGUGGAAUUCCCGGUGUAGCGGUGAAAUGCGCAGAUAUCGGGAGGAACACCAGUAGCGAAGGCGGCACUCUGGGCCGGUACUGGACGCUGAGGAGCGAAAGCGUGGGGAGCGAACAGG
This 254-nucleotide ribosomal RNA is filed under the name uncultured bacterium. RNAcentral's name for it is "partial 16S ribosomal RNA". It matches the Rfam family "Bacterial small subunit ribosomal RNA", at positions 524 to 776 of the family's 1533-position model. The record is from RNAcentral.